This 1394-nucleotide ribosomal RNA is filed under the name Austrofundulus limnaeus. RNAcentral's name for it is "bacterial LSU rRNA". It matches the Rfam family "Bacterial large subunit ribosomal RNA", at positions 1079 to 2473 of the family's 2925-position model. Lineage: Eukaryota; Metazoa; Chordata; Actinopteri; Cyprinodontiformes; Rivulidae. The record is from RNAcentral.
AGUUUCUCAGACAGUUGGGAUGUUGGCUUAGAGGCAGCCAUCAUUUAAAGAGUGCGUAACAGCUCACCAAUCGAGAAACUUUGCGCCAAAAAUAUACGGGACUCGAAGCAUAAAACCGAAGUCACGGAUGUGUACUAUGUACACGUGGUAGGGGAGCGUUGUAUUUGCGCAGAAGGCGUACCGUAAGGAGCGCUGGAGCGGAUACAAGUGAAGAUGCAUGGCAUGAGUAAACGAUAAAAGAGGUGAAAAUCCUCUUCGCCGAAAACCUAAGGUUUCCAGGGUAAAGCUCGUCUUCCCUGGGUUAGCCGGUCCCUAAGCUGAGGCAGAAAUGCGUAGGUGAUGGAAAGCAGGUUAAAUAUUCCUGCGCUGUCUAAGGUUAUGACAAUGGAAUGACGGGGUAAGUGAAGUAUGCGAACUAAUGGAUGUUCGUGACACUAUGAGGCUGGCUUGCAGUAAAAUGCGUAAGCGAAAAGCUAGGUAGUGGACAAGGGGAAGAAAUGAACCGAUGAUAUGGAUCGAGCCUCCAAGAAAUAAUUUCUAGUCACCGAUGGCAACCGUACCAAAACCGACACAGGUGGGUGGGAAGAAGAUUCUCAGGCGCGCGAGAGAACUCUCGUUAAGGAACUCUGCAAAUUAUCCACGUAACUUCGGGAGAAGUGGAGCCAUUUUCGGUGAGUAUGAACAAUACAAAGCUGAGAGUGGCCGCAGUGAAAUGGCCCAGGCGACUGUUUAACAAAAACACAGCACUAUGCAAAGUCGUCUAAGACGCAGUAUAUGGUGUGAUGCCUGCCCAAUGCCCAAAGGUCAAAGGAAGAGGUUAGCUCGAAAGGGCGAAGCUUCGAACUAAAGCCCGGGUGAAUGGCGGCCGUAACUCUAACGGUCCUAAGGUAGCGAAAUUCCUUGUCGGGUAAGUUCCGACCUGCACGAAUGGUCUAAUGAGUUGAACACUGUCUCCUCCACGAGCCCGGUGAAAUUGUAGUAUCGGUGAAGAUGCCGGUUACCCGCCACGGGACGAAAAGACCCCGUGAACCUUCACUACAACUUUGCAUUGAUUUUGAGCACCAAAUGUGUAGGAUAGUUGGGAGACUGUGAAGCAGUGCCGCCAGGUAUUGUGGAGUCAACGUUGAAAUACCAACCUUUUGUUGCUUAGAACCUAACCCUGAACAAGGGGACAUUGCAUGGUGGGUAGUUUGACUGGGGUGGUCGCCUCCAAAAGAGUAACGGAGGCUUCUAAAGGUUCCCUCAGCACGCUUGGUAACCGUGCGUAGAGUGCAAUGGCAUAAGGGAGCUUGACUGAGAGACAUACAGGUCGAUCAGGUACGAAAGUAGAGCAUAGUGAUCCGGUGGUUCCGCAUGGAAGGGCCAUCGCUCAAAGGAUAAAAGGUACUCCGGGG